GGCGGACGGGUGAGUAAUGCUGGGGAACUUGCCUUUAGGAGGGGGGAUAACCACGGGGAAACUGUGGCUAAUACCGCAUAAUGUCUACGGACCAAAGCAGGGGAUCUUCGGGACCUUGCACCUAGAGAUAGGCCCAAGUGAGAUUAGCUAGUUGGUGGGGUAAGAGCUCACCAAGGCGACGAUCUCUAGCUGUUCUGAGAGGAUGAUCAGCCACACUGGGACUGAGACACGGCCCAGACUCCUACGGGAGGCAGCAGUGGGGAAUAUUGCACAAUGGGGGAAACCCUGAUGCAGCCAUGCCGCGUGUGUGAAGAAGGCCUUCGGGUUGUAAAGCACUUUCAGUGCUGAGGAAGGAUGUAAGAUUAAUACUCUUGCAUAUUGACGUUAGCCACAGAAGAAGCACCGGCUAACUCCGUGCCAGCAGCCGCGGUAAUACGGAGGGUGCAAGCGUUAAUCGGAAUUACUGGGCGUAAAGCGUACGUAGGCGGCUUGUUAAGCAAGAUGUGAAAUCCCCGGGCUCAACCUGGGAAUGGCAUUUUGAACUGGCAAGCUCGAGUUCUGAAGAGGGUGGUAGAAUUUCCUGUGUAGCGGUGAAAUGCGUAGAUAUAGGAAGGAAUACCAGUGGCGAAGGCGGCCACCUGGUCAGAAACUGACGCUGAGGUACGAAAGCGUGG
Molecule: ribosomal RNA, 674 nt
Filed under: uncultured bacterium
Lineage: Bacteria
Description: bacterial SSU rRNA
Rfam family: Bacterial small subunit ribosomal RNA
Source: RNAcentral